CCAACAGGGAUUGCCCUAGUAACGGCGAGUGAAGCGGCAACAGCUCAAAUUUGAAAUCUGGCUCUUUCAGAGUCCGAGUUGUAAUUUGCAGAGGGCGCUUUGGCUUUGGCAGCGGUCCAAGUUCCUUGGAACAGGACGUCACAGAGGGUGAGAAUCCCGUACGUGGUCGCUAGCUAUUGCCGUGUAAAGCCCCUUCGACGAGUCGAGUUGUUUGGGAAUGCAGCUCUAAAUGGGAGGUAAAUUUCUUCUAAAGCUAAAUAUUGGCCAGAGACCGAUAGCGCACAAGUAGAGUGAUCGAAAGAUGAAAAGCACUUUGGAAAGAGAGUCAAACAGCACGUGAAAUUGUUGAAAGGGAAGCGCUUGCAGCCAGACUUGCUUGCAGUUGCUCAUCCGGGCUUUUGCCCGGUGCACUCUUCUGUAGGCAGGCCAGCAUCAGUUUGGGCGGUGGGAUAAAGGUCUCUGUCACGUACCUCUCUUCGGGGAGGCCUUAUAGGGGAGACGACAUACCACCAGCCUAGACUGAGGUCCGCGCAUCUGCUAGGAUGCUGGCGUAAUGGCUGUAAGCGGCCCGUCUUGAAACACGGACCAAGGAGUCUAACAUCUAUGCGAGUGUUUGGGUGUCAAGCCCGAGCGCGUAAUGAAAGUGAACGGAGGUGGGAACCCGCAAGGGUGCACCAUCGACCGAUCCUGAAGUUUACGGAAGGAUUUGAGUAAGAGCAUGGCUGUUGGGACCCGAAAGAUGGUGAACUAUGCUUGAAUAGGGUGAAGCCAGAGGAAACUCUGGUGGAGGCUCGCAGCGGUUCUGACGUGCAAAUCGAUCGUCAAAUUUGGGCAUAGGGGCGAAAGACUAAUCGAACUUUUUGGUCGUUGGUUCCUGCCGAGCCCUCUUCGUAAAGAGAAAAAACCCCACCGCGUAACUAAGAUAAGUUCGCGAAUAGGUCUUUCGCGCCUAAU
This 954-nucleotide ribosomal RNA is filed under the name Bipolaris oryzae. RNAcentral's name for it is "partial large subunit ribosomal RNA". It matches the Rfam family "Eukaryotic large subunit ribosomal RNA", at positions 65 to 1040 of the family's 3401-position model. Lineage: Eukaryota; Fungi; Ascomycota; Dothideomycetes; Pleosporales; Pleosporaceae. The record is from RNAcentral.